AAAAGACUUAGUCCUAACCUUACUAUUAAUUCUUGCCAGAUCUAUACAUGCAAGUAUCCGCACCCCAGUGUAAAUGCCCCUAGACCCUCCCCCGGACAAGAGGAGCAGGUAUCAGGCACACUCCUCCCGUAGCCCAAGACACCUUGCUUAGCCACACCCCCACGGGUAUUCAGCAGUAACUAACAUUAAGCUAUGAGCGCAAGCUCGACUUAGUCAUGGCAACACCAGGGUUGGUAAAUCUUGUGCCAGCCACCGCGGUCAUACAAGAAACCCAAAUUAAUCGUUCACGGCGUAAAGAGUGACCCAACACUAUCGUCUCACCUGAGGGCAAAACAUGUCCAAGCUGUCAUAAGCCCAAGACACGCCUAAACCCACAUCCUCCUCAACUCCAACGAUCAAUCGACCUCACNAAAGCCAGGGNNCAAACUGGGAUUANAUACCCCACUAUGCCUGGCCAUAAAUUCAAAUGCUUCCCUUACCCAAGCAUUCGCCAGGGGACUACGAGCACAAACGCUUAAAACCCUAAGGACUUGGCGGUGUCCCAAACCCACCUAGAGGAGCCUGUUCUGUAAUCGAUAACCCACGCUACACCCAACCCCCCCUUGCCUGCAAGCAGCCUACAUACCGCCGUCGUCAGCCCACCUCACCUGAGAGCCCAACAGUGAGCACAAUAGCCCCACCCGCUAAAAAGACAGGUCAAGGUAUAGCCUAUGGGGGGGAAAGAAAUGGGCUACAUUUUCUGACCCAGAAAACAACGAAAGCAGGGCCUGAAAACCUGCCCUCGGAAGGCGGAUUUAGCAGUAAAACAUGACCAUCAUGCUUGUCUUAAACUGGCCCUGGGACACGUACAUACCGCCCGUCACCCUCCUCACAAGCAAACUUCUCCCCUCCAAUCAAAACCAUAACCCGCCAAAGAUGAGGUAAGUCGUAACAAGGUAAGUGUACCGGAAGGUGCACUUAGCACAU
This 966-nucleotide non-coding RNA is filed under the name Veniliornis callonotus. RNAcentral's name for it is "12S ribosomal RNA". It matches the Rfam family "Bacterial small subunit ribosomal RNA". Lineage: Eukaryota; Metazoa; Chordata; Aves; Piciformes; Picidae. The record is from RNAcentral.